Molecule: ribosomal RNA, 318 nt
Filed under: Triticum aestivum (bread wheat)
Lineage: Eukaryota; Viridiplantae; Streptophyta; Magnoliopsida; Poales; Poaceae
Description: partial small subunit ribosomal RNA
Source: RNAcentral
AUGAAGUCUUUUACCCAGGAAAAAAAUAAUAAGCAAGCUUUCGGGAUGAAACACCGCCACCACGAGGCGGAACCUUGGCAGAACCAAUCUAGGGCUCCGGCGGAGCUGUUCUGCCGGGCAAACAUCCCUCCGGAAGGGGGAAAUCAUCACCAUCGUCAUCUCCAUCGAUCCUCUCAUCGGGAGGGGAUCAAUCUCCUUCAACAUCUUCACCAGCACCAUCUCCUCUCAAACCCUAGUUCAUCUCUUGUAUCCAAUCUUUGCCUCAAAACCUCAGAUUGGUACCUGUGGGUUGCUAGUAGUGUUGAUUACUCCUUGUAG